UGUGGGAGCGGGCUUGCCCGCGAUGACGGAGUGUCAGCCAAUGAUUCAUUGACUGAUUCACCGCAAUCGCGGGCAAGCCCGCUCCCACA
RNAcentral lists this non-coding RNA (89 nucleotides) under Pseudomonas tolaasii NCPPB 2192. Lineage: Bacteria; Pseudomonadati; Pseudomonadota; Gammaproteobacteria; Pseudomonadales; Pseudomonadaceae. The record is from RNAcentral.